Molecule: ribosomal RNA, 239 nt
Organism: Desulfacinum hydrothermale DSM 13146
Lineage: Bacteria; Pseudomonadati; Thermodesulfobacteriota; Syntrophobacteria; Syntrophobacterales; Syntrophobacteraceae
Rfam family: Bacterial large subunit ribosomal RNA
Source: Rfam
CGGGAUGGACGGACCUCUGGUGUCCCAGUUGUUCCGCCAGGAGCACCGCUGGGUAGCUAUGUUCGGAAGGGAUAACCGCUGAAAGCAUCUAAGCGGGAAACCCACCCCAAGAUGAGAGUUCCCUUUCCGCUUCGGCGGAGCUGAAGGCCCCUCGUAGACGACGAGGUUGAUAGGCCGGAGGUGGAAGUCCGGUAACGGAUGGAGCUGACCGGUACUAAUAGGCCGUGAGGCUUGACCAU